Molecule: long non-coding RNA, 497 nt
Filed under: Salvia miltiorrhiza (redroot sage)
Lineage: Eukaryota; Viridiplantae; Streptophyta; Magnoliopsida; Lamiales; Lamiaceae
Description: long non-coding RNA (SMIL_LNC011572)
Source: RNAcentral
UAUGACUUAGGCUCCACAUAUAGUAAAUUACCCCAUCCUGAGUAACCUAAACCCUCGACUAACUCUUUCAAAUGAAAAAACUCAAACUUGUCUAUACCAAGGUCAAAAAAUCCUACAUUUUUACCCAUAUCAUCAAAGCCUUGUGCUUCCUUAAAUGUUCCAUCGUGAUGUAUAAAGAGGGUGAAAUUGCAACUGCAAAAAAAAAUAAAAUAAAUAAAUAAAUAAAUACACUUUCAAAAACCCAAUCGAUUAUUGAAAAAUCACACGAACAAAAUUAUUAUUCAAAUACCUCCGAUUGAAAUAACCUACCUAUCACCCAUGUCUCUACGCUCAAUUUAGUCGUGCUCUCCAACUUAAGUUUCUCAGUCGUGCUCUCCAAUCGUCGUGCUCUUCUAUGUUGAAAUCCUUCUCCGCUCUCACUGUCGGAAUAUGACCUUUGGUCUUUGUCGUUCCAUAUUACUUUGCUAGAUUAGGGUAUUUUAUUUACCAAUUAGGAC